UUUUUUUCUAAAUAGAAAGAGCUAAUCAAUUCCCUGCAGCACUAGCAGACGCUGGCAGGCCACGGCACAAUGGAGGAUUCUCCACACGAGGUCUGGACGUUUUGUUUCUCCGGCCUGGCUUGGCCUGCCACUUGCAGGGCUCUUUGGACGUUCUGUUACGAAGCAUUCCGGUGUUUUGUGCAAAAGGUCCGGAGCGUUCUGUACGCGAGACCACCAGCCCUUUCGCCAUUUUGGUGCUGGCUGAUAUGUAAACAGAGUCCGAGAGAGGCCUGACCCAGACCAGGAGUAGCCCUGGAUUUGUUCCUUGUUGGUGGCAGGAGAAAUAAUUGCUUAGUACUGCUGACUACACUCAUGCACAACACUUUUAUAUCGCAGAUUUUUAAUUCUCAGGCAAGCCAGUGUUGUUUUUUAAGAGUGGAAUUGUUUAGAGGCCAAAAAUCUCGGGAGUCUUCACGCUCAGUCUCUCUGACUCUCCCUCCCUCUCUCAAGCACACACAUUCACAUCCCACAGAUCUUUCCUAUCUAUUGCAAGUAUAACCUAGGGCUUGUAAGCUGUAGGAGCAUACAAAAGUUUUGCUAUGGGGCAGUCUGCUACUCUUUCUCUGUUGCACUACUGUCAAACGUUGCAGCUAGCAGUGCAAUAAUGAAAGGGCGUCAGCCACCCCGGAGAGCAGCCGGAGAAGGCAGAAUUCAACCUGUAGGGUCAGGGGCAGUUUCCACACACUGUUGCCCUUUAGGACAUUUUCUAGGCAGCCCUCUCCACUGCUGCUAAAACAACAUCUUGACAAAUUUGGUAAUUUCUGAUUUUUUUUACUCAGGUGAGUUUGGGCUGUGUAGUUGGUGGAAAGGGCAGAAGGAUUUGUUUUGCAUAGCAGUUCUACAGCCCUGGUUGACAAAUUUGGUAAUUUCUGAUUUUUUUUACUCAGGUGAGUUUGGGCUGUGUAGUUGGUGGAAAGGGCAGAAGGAUUUGUUUUGCAUAGCAGUUCUACAGCCCUGGUUGAAUAGCAGUUCUACAGCCCUGGUUGACAAAUUUGCUGUCGUUAUCAACAUGGGAGGCAAUGCUCACUUCCUAAGCCCACUUAACAAGGAGGGAAGCAAUUUCAAAGGACUGUAUAAUUACAGCUUCACCUCUGAAGCUUUUGUGAUAUAAUUCUACCUUGAAAACAGAGCUGCCAUAAAUCCAGCCAGAGCAUGGAUGGGGAAUCGCAAACCAUUCUAGUCUCCUUGCAGGAAGGCUGAAAUUAUGAACAUGAACACAACAAGAAUGUUGCCAGCAGAAGAUGAACACUCCAUGGGGAAACCGACAGAGAACCGGGUGCCUCAUUCAAGCCAGUGCUCUUAAUGUUACGUCUAUUGCCAUGGCUUGACCUUACUCUCUGCAUACAAAUUCAUGCACAUUUGAGGCAAAUCUUCCCCUCUGCUUUCCCCCACAGUUGAAGACUUGGAUAUUUUUUAAAAAAAAACCUUAAAUAAAUGCUGAGAUUAUUUGAA
Sphaerodactylus townsendi is the source of this 1491-nucleotide long non-coding RNA. RefSeq lists it as uncharacterized. The transcript has 3 exons. The record is from RefSeq and is a predicted model, not a curated record. Lineage: Eukaryota; Metazoa; Chordata; Lepidosauria; Squamata; Sphaerodactylidae.